GACGAACGCUGGCGGCGUGCUUAACACAUGCAAGUCGAACGGAAAGGCCCCUUUGGGGGUACUCGAGUGGCGAACGGGUGAGUAACACGUGAGUAACCUGCCCUUGACUUCGGGAUAACUUCAGGAAACUGGGGCUAAUACCGGAUAGGAAUCCUUGCUGCAUGGUGGGGGUUGGAAAGCUUCGGCGGUUUUGGAUGGACUCGCGGCUUAUCAGCUUGUUGGUGGGGUAGUGGCUUACCAAGGCUUUGACGGGUAGCCGGCCUGAGAGGGCGACCCGCGACAUUGGGACUGAGAUACGGCCCAGACUCCUACGGGAGGCAGCAGGGGGGAAUAUUGCACGAUGGGCGGAAGCCUGAUGCAGCAACGCCGCGGGCGGGAUGACGGCCUUAGGGUUGUAAACCGCUUUCAGCAGGGGCGAAGCUUGUGGUGACGGUACCUGAAGAAGAAGCACCGGCUAACUACGUG
RNAcentral lists this ribosomal RNA (465 nucleotides) under uncultured bacterium. RNAcentral's name for it is "partial 16S ribosomal RNA". It matches the Rfam family "Bacterial small subunit ribosomal RNA", at positions 28 to 507 of the family's 1533-position model. The record is from RNAcentral.